CUUUAAUCCCAGCACUAGGGAGGCAAGGCAGGAGGAUCUCUGAGUUCGAGGCCAGGCUGAUCUACAGGGUGAGUUCCUGGACAGCCAGAGAUGUGUCCAUACACCUGCGUGUGGAGGCCAGAAGAGGGCAACAGGUCACCUGGAGCUUGAGUGAUAGAUCCCUGGGUAUUCUGUGUGUCUGUCCUAAUUGGAAAGAAGAUUUUCACCUGCCUUCUAAAGUUCUUCAGUGCAACUGUAUUUCCUUGCAAAGGAUACAUUCCCAGGUCCCCUGCAGGGUGAAGAAUUCAUUAUUACCAGGCAGGCACCAUGAGCCCAGCAGGCAGAGGAAGGCCCCAGAAGCACAGCAACUGGCAAACACUUGGAGUCCCAUGGAGUCCCAUGGAUAGUUUCUCAUCGCGGUACCCAGCAGGUUUCUGAUCUCUGAAGUCGAAAGAGUGCACACAGUUCCCAGGAGCAGGAAAUGAAGUGGGGCGAACCUUGGGUGAGGAGCCACACAUCCUGUGAUUACUUCUUUGGGGUAGCUUGUUAAGGGCGAGAUAGCACAGAACCCCACUCCAGGUAUGAGAUAAGAUUCUUUCUCAGAUAGUGCAUGGGUAGCCCAAUACACAAGGAGAGAAUUGAAGAGUGAAGGAGAAAAAGGAAGAGCUGGUCCUUAAUUUUGCCAAGGUAUAACUCCAUGCAUUAGCAAGUUAGGCUACCUGCCUUCAGCCUUAUUUUCCACAGCUGUAAAAUAGUAAUAAUACCUGCUCCAUCCAUUUG
Molecule: long non-coding RNA, 759 nt
Filed under: Cricetulus griseus (Chinese hamster)
Lineage: Eukaryota; Metazoa; Chordata; Mammalia; Rodentia; Cricetidae
Description: lncRNA (ENSCGRG00015041660.1)
Source: RNAcentral